AACUCUUCUCUCGGACGAUCGGCCAAUUAGACGCAAGGAACUAUCCCUUCCCGCCUACGUACCCACCUCCAAACGUCACCAUGGCAACUUGUGGCGCGUGACCACGCCUGACCCAAUCCAGUGGGCGAAAGGUAGAAGUGGCAACCCGUCGAAGCAAUCAUCAUAUCCGAGAACGCCGACUUGAGCCAAUCACAAAGCUGCAAACAAAUAUAGAUGACCUUCGAAGGGUUGCCGCAGGUGAUGCGGUGGGAGCUGAAAAAAGAUUCCGAGGGCAAAGGUCCCCUGCGCGCUUGCUUACCUGAGAGCGGGCGCUGUUAAGAGUUCGUUGGAAGCUCCUCCAGAGUCGGCCGCAAGCGAGGGUUAAAUGAUCGGGAUGAGAACGUUUAGUUCCGUUCCUGUCGGUCGAAAGACUGGUUGCUGUGUAGAGUUGUUCUACAUCGCUUUUACACUGGAGAAUGACCAGGAAAGAAUUUGGUUGUGAUUUGUAUAUGGGAUCCCAGGAUUUUCAGCUGCUCAGCGGGACAAUUGCAAAAACAUCUGUUUCAUGAGGAGCCACCAUCCAGCGCACAAGUGGAUCAGGGAUCAGUUCUCUUUAUUAUAAAGGCCUGACAGAUAAGAAUCAGUGCAAGUUGAAUUCUUCCAGUUGAAUUUCUUCUCUAUCAAAAUCCUGAGGCUGCAAGAUCAGAAAGAGAUGCA
Molecule: long non-coding RNA, 696 nt
Organism: Ahaetulla prasina
Lineage: Eukaryota; Metazoa; Chordata; Lepidosauria; Squamata; Colubridae
Exons: 4
Source: RefSeq, a predicted model, not a curated record